RNAcentral lists this long non-coding RNA (335 nucleotides) under Panax ginseng (ginseng). Its description in RNAcentral is "long non-coding RNA (PGIN_LNC000653)". Lineage: Eukaryota; Viridiplantae; Streptophyta; Magnoliopsida; Apiales; Araliaceae. The record is from RNAcentral.
ACUAUAACCAUUAACUCAUAAUAUAAACUCAUUCGAACAGCUUUUCUUUCCCUUUGUUCGUGCCUGAGCCUUCAGAUUGCUCAUACAUAACUGAAAACAUUUAAUUUAAGCAAGGAUGAGCAUUUGAGUGCCCAACAAGUAAUAGCAAUUAUAUAUAUAAGCUGAAAGAAUAUAAGUAUUCUCUUUACAUAACACUUCUACAACGAAUCGAAAGUUGUGAAGUAAUCUGUACUGAUUAAAAAUUCACAUAACAACUCUCUUCCAAAUUAUUUAAAUUUGGCUCUGGCUCUACCCAUGAAUAGGGUUUAAGAAACAUACUAUGAACAUUGUUUUUC